Long non-coding RNA from Puntigrus tetrazona (Sumatra barb), 1446 nucleotides. RefSeq lists it as uncharacterized. NCBI's taxonomy places the organism in Eukaryota, Metazoa, Chordata, Actinopteri, Cypriniformes, Cyprinidae. The record is from RefSeq and is a predicted model, not a curated record. The transcript is spliced from 4 exons.
GAAACUAGACUCUCUCGAGCUGGAGAGAGAGAAACAUCGCGUGCGCGGAGCGCAGGACGGACAGGCAACGAGAGCGUCGCCCGCACGCGCGCGCGCUUUCGCGAAGUGCACCUCGCGUCUCCUCUCGCGUCCACGCACGAACGCUGCAAGCGUGCUUUUUUUUUAUCGCGGGAGGAACUCCCCAUCUUGGAAAUUAAACUGCCCGUUCCGUUCUCUGGAUGGCCGGGACGCGGCGUUCGACGGCUGAACGCUCGGGGACCGCGAGUUCUGAAUGGAAAACGCGUCGCUGAAGAGAUGCGCCGAAGAGUUGGGCUUUUCACCAGAUGCUCCAGAUGAUUUCAGCGUCAUGUUCUUUGACGCUGGACGCACGGGAACCUCUAUUUGUCCCCGACACUCGGCCGCUCGUAGCUUACUUUCUGACAGAGAGGAAUAUGAGCAUCGGUUGUUAAAACCUCUCAAACCAAACUGCAGUGUCUUUGUGAGAGACCAGAGGACUGGAGCUGAGGGGAAAAACACCAUCUGCAACUGCCAGCCAUUUACACUGCCUUUUUGGAGCAAGAGGGAGAGAGGAAAAAAAUGGUGCAAUUGUCCAAAUGAAAGAAAAGAAAAAUAAUAGUCAACCCUCAUCCUUCUUCUACCAGCUCCCCUCCCUUCUUCGUCAACGGAAGCAUUUAGUGCCAUCUGUGCCCCCGGAGAAAAGAGGAAAAAAAGAAAGGAGUGAGACUCUACAUCCCAAGUGCCAAUGGGGACAAAGAGGCUGCCAGUUGCCACGGACCACCAGAUGCUGGAAGACUGCAAGUCUGAAUGAGGGGUGUGCUUUCAGGAAGCCAUCUUGAUGGAGAAGCUGGCUGCUGCUCCCUAAAAUGGCUGUGUUGGCAUGAGGCUCCUGGCAAAAAGACUGUGCUGUUUCCCACCUUUCGUCAUCAGCUGCCGGAGAAACCGAGGCCAUCCUGCCAUGUUCAGCUCAAAUGGUCAAUCACAUCACCUCAGGAACCCAGCGUCUCUUCCUGAUGGUUCGCUGUGGACAUUAAACAAGCAGAUGAGGGACGGUUUAAAAUGUGCACUAAUUGAUUUAACCUUGCGGUCUUCAGACAAUCGCUAAUACUGAAUCUCAGAUGUUAGAAAACGUGUUGUACAAUCGUAUCGGUGCUGUAUGAACUGAAGAAAACGAUGUGCCUUAAUGUGUGAAAAGUUUACAAUGAAAGUUGUCAGAAUGGAAAAAUACCAGCAUCUGUGUUUUUUGCAUAUCCUGAUUUACGUGCUUUCCAUUUUCGAUUUGUGUUAUUAUAAAACGUCCCUCUUUAAUGUACGUGAAACUGUGCUCAAUCCAGAUCAUUUUAAUGUAUGGGCUUUGACGCGAGAAUUAUGCCCGGCCUCCCUUUGGAUUAUCCUUUUGUCUGAUUGUGAUGUAUGCAACAAAUAAACGACAUUUGAGCAUUAAAUGAA